This 369-nucleotide ribosomal RNA is filed under the name uncultured organism. Its description in RNAcentral is "partial 16S ribosomal RNA". It matches the Rfam family "Bacterial small subunit ribosomal RNA", at positions 527 to 896 of the family's 1533-position model. The record is from RNAcentral.
GUAGGGUGCGAGCGUUAAUCGGAAUUACUGGGCGUAAAGCGUGCGCAGGCGGUUAUGUAAGACAGAUGUGAAAUCCCCGGGCUCAACCUGGGAACUGCAUUUGUGACUGCAUGGCUAGAGUACGGUAGAGGGGGAUGGAAUUCCGCGUGUAGCAGUGAAAUGCGUAGAUAUGCGGAGGAACACCGAUGGCGAAGGCAAUCCCCUGGACCUGUACUGACGCUCAUGCACGAAAGCGUGGGGAGCAAACAGGAUUAGAUACCCUGGUAGUCCACGCCCCUAAACGAUGUCAACUGGUUGUUGGGAAUUAGUUUUCUCAGUAACGAAGCUAACGCGUGAAGUUGACCGCCUGGGAGUACGGCCGCAAGGUUG